AGAUUGAACGCUGGCGGCAUGCCUAACACAUGCAAGUCGAGCGGCAGCGCGGGGGCAACCCUGGCGGCGAGCGGCGGACGGGUGAGUAAGGCAUCGGAAUCUGCCCUGAUGUGGGGGAUAACGUAGGGAAACUUACGCUAAUACCGCAUACGACCGAGAGGUGAAAGCGGGGGACCGAAAGGCCUCGCGCAGCAGGAUGAGCCGAUGUCUGAUAGCUAGUUGGGUGGGGUAACCGGCCUAACCGAAGGCGACGAUCGGUAGCGUGGUCUGAGGAGGACCGACCAGCCACACGUGGGACUGAGACACCGGCCCAGACCUCCGUACGGGAGGCAGC
Molecule: ribosomal RNA, 334 nt
Filed under: uncultured prokaryote
Description: bacterial SSU rRNA
Rfam family: Bacterial small subunit ribosomal RNA
Source: RNAcentral